This 200-nucleotide ribosomal RNA is filed under the name uncultured bacterium. RNAcentral describes it as "partial 16S ribosomal RNA". It matches the Rfam family "Bacterial small subunit ribosomal RNA", at positions 326 to 539 of the family's 1533-position model. The record is from RNAcentral.
ACGCUCGACACCUACCGGGAGCAGCAGGUGGGGAAUAUUGCACAAGUGGGGGAAACCCUGAUGCAGCGACGCCGCGUGAAGGAAGAAGUAUCUCGGUAUGUAAACUUCUAUCAGCAGGGAAGAAAAUGACGGUACCUGACUAAGAAGCCCCGGCUAAUUACGUGCCAGCAGCCACGGUAAUCUGAGCGGGCUGGCAAGGC